Molecule: ribosomal RNA, 494 nt
Filed under: uncultured bacterium
Lineage: Bacteria
Description: partial 16S ribosomal RNA
Rfam family: Bacterial small subunit ribosomal RNA
Source: RNAcentral
GACGAACGCUGGCGGCGCGCUUAACACAUGCAAGUCGAACGGAAAGGCCUGCUUUCCCUUGUGGAUUGCGGGUACUCGAGUGGCUAACGGGUGAGUAACACGUGAGUAAUCUGCCCCCAACUUGGGUAUAAGCCUGGGAAACUGGGUCUAAUUCCCGAUAGGACUGCAGGGUGGUGCCUGUGGUGGAAAACGAUUUUCUAGUGGUUGGGGAUGAGCUCGCGGCCUAUCAGCUUGUUGGUGGGGUAAUGGCCUACCAAGGCGGCGACGGGUAGCCGGCCUGGGAGGGUGGACGGCCACAUUGGGACUGAGACACGGCCCAGACGCCUACGGGAGGCAGCAGUGGGGAAUAUUGCACAAUGGGCGGAAGCCUGAUGCAGCGACGCAGCGUGGGGGAUGACGGCAUUCGGGUUGUAAACUACUUUCGACCGAGAGGAAGCCACCUGGUUGGAAGGGUGGUGACGGUAGUGGUAGAAGAAGCACCGGCUAACUACGUG